AUCCCCCUUCUCCUUUGGCAUGCUGGCUGAAGGCGUCUCCGCUGUGGGCUGCCUCUCACUGUACUGUUUGCUCCAGAACCAGGGUAUUAUGAGGACGGGGCCUUCGGGAUCCGCAUCGAGAACGUUGUUCUGGUGGUUCCUGUGAAGACCAAGUAUAAUUUCAAUAACCGAGGAAGCCUGACCUUUGAACCUCUAACUUUGGUUCCCAUCCAGACCAAAAUGAUAGAUGUGGAUUCUCUUACAGAUAAAGAGGAAGCAUUAAGGAGGCAAGAAGCACAGUCUGUCAUGUGCUCAGUUUCUCACAGAUGAGUGAGGCCAUCCCGGUCUACGGCUGUGGUCACCUUGUGUGGCACAGCAGGGUUCACUUUCCAAGCUCCCAGCGCUAGACACAUCCAAACCCUCCAAGUGCUCCAGCAAGUCCCCAGCCGUAUGCCAGAGAAGGUGGCAGGCCAAGGUACCUGGAGUAAUGACUGAGCGAUCAGGCAGGGGAUUAAGGUCAGGGAAGAAAGUAGGACCUGGAAAGGGCAGGAACAAUUCGCUAGUCAGAGACAGAGCAGGUUUUCAUCUAGGAAGUGGGAAACCAGGACACAAGCUCCACGGCAAGGUAGAAGUCCCAGCGAAAAGCUGGUGACUCGUGGGGACAUAGGCCGGAAAAGACACUGUAGGAAUGACCUCUGGCCCCUCCCCAGGGCGUUGGUGCACUCUUAAAUGCAGGGCGAUCGUCACUGGGGUCAUCUUGGGUGUCCAGGGUACUCGAUGUCCAGGGAGGCUGUAGAGUGGGGUUCACCCACCUAGAAGCCUCUGUGCCUUUCAUUUAACAUGUGGGUCACUGGGGAAGCUCACCUACUUCCUGUGUGCUUGGGCACACCUCUCUGAUCAUGGUGCCUGUGGUGCAGCCAGCAUUUGUGUUCAUAGAACACUAAAGGGGCCUGGCCAUCCUUGUUUAUUCAUAUUGUACAUAGAUUUAGAACAGGACGCUCGGCCUUACCGCCAUCUAGUGUCCCAUGUCUCUUCAGUGGGCAGACUCCUGUCUGCAGCUCAGGAGCCCCUCUCCACCCCACCAGAAUGACGCUGGGGGAGCAGGGGAGCACGGGCACACAGUGGCGUGAGAGCCCCC
This is a non-coding RNA of Cricetulus griseus (Chinese hamster), 1117 nucleotides long. Lineage: Eukaryota; Metazoa; Chordata; Mammalia; Rodentia; Cricetidae. The record is from RefSeq and is a predicted model, not a curated record.